GGCUGGAUGGCCCUUACGGCAUCCGGAAGCCCUAGUGCUGUCACUAGCACCUUGCUGGCUGAAGAAAGCAAAGCCAACCCCAUCAUGCUUCCCACAGCGAGCCUUGGCGAUGUGGUGAUUUCUAGUGUUCCCCGUGAUCUCCAGUUUUGUGUUGUGCUACAUUCCUGAGCAAACAAAUCUUCUUUUCAAGACUUUGGCAUAUGGAUAUUGCCUAGGAAAGAUGAUUUCUCUGUCAAGCCCCAAGGACAAUUAUGGAAAUAUCUAUGUCAUAGUACUCUCACUAUGAGUAAAAUAAAGAUAAAAUAGCCAACAUUAGAUGCAAAA
Molecule: long non-coding RNA, 324 nt
Filed under: Rattus norvegicus (Norway rat)
Lineage: Eukaryota; Metazoa; Chordata; Mammalia; Rodentia; Muridae
Description: long non-coding RNA NONRATT010651
Source: RNAcentral